Molecule: ribosomal RNA, 588 nt
Filed under: uncultured bacterium
Lineage: Bacteria
Description: bacterial SSU rRNA
Rfam family: Bacterial small subunit ribosomal RNA
Source: RNAcentral
UCUGGGAAACUGCCUGAUGGAGGGGGAUAACUACUGGAAACGGUAGCUAAUACCGCAUAACGCCGCAAGACCAAAGAGGGGGACCUUCGGGCCUCUUGCCAUCGGAUGUGCCCAGAUGGGAUUAGCUAGUAGGUGGGGUAACGGCUCACCUAGGCGACGAUCCCUAGCUGGUCUGAGAGGAUGACCAGCCACACUGGAACUGAGACACGGUCCAGACUCCCACGGGAGGCAGCAGUGGGGAAUAUUGCACAAUGGGCGCAAGCCUGAUGCAGCCAUGCCGCGUGUAUGAAGAAGGCCUUCGGGUUGUAAAGUACUUUCAGCGGGGAGGAAGGGAGUAAAGUUAAUACCUUUGCUCAUUGACGUUACCCGCAGAAGAAGCACCGGCUAACUCCGUGCCAGCAGCCGCGGUAAUACGGAGGGUGCAAGCGUUAAUCGGAAUUACUGGGCGUAAAGCGCACGCAGGCGGUUUGUUAAGUCAGAUGUGAAAUCCCCGGGCUCAACCUGGGAACUGCAUCUGAUACUGGCAAGCUUGAGUCUCGUAGAGGGGGGUAGAAUUCCAGGUGUAGCGGUGAAAUGCGUAGAGAUCUG